GUUUUACUAGCUAACAUAUCUUGCACAUUUCAAUAAGUUCUCAAAUAAAUAUAGAAAUCUUUUCUUUAAUUUGCUUAUCAUCACCUUGAUUUCUUUGCUUAUUUUUAACUAGUGUUCAGCAUGUGUUCAAAUAGGGAAUUGUAAUAGUGACUCUGCAUACUGAAGUAUCCGGACUCUGAUAUAGCAAUAAAAUUCUAGAACCUAAUAAAGUAAUAAAAUCUAAAAGAUCACUGAAAGGCCUUAGAGUCCAGAAUAUAAGCUUGAUUCUUUGGCUUUCUCAUUAUGUAUAGAGGAUUUUCAAGCUUAACUUUUGAUAUCUUAGAAACUUUUUAUUUGCCUAGGCAUUUGUAUUUUGUCCAAUGCUACGUGGUUGCAUGACCACUAGCAUACUACAACUGCCUUUGAAAACAUCGAAUCAUCAUGAUUAGAGGUUGCAAGGCCUGCAAUUCUAGCAAGUGUGCCUUUGUUCAUCAGUUCUCUCUUCUCUUCUUCUCUGUCUUUCUCUUUCCUCUCCUCAUCCUGUCUACACAUCUUUGAUAUAUACAUGUGUCCCUGUGAUAUACUAUAUACUAUUCUCUAACUCCUCUCCCAAUUUUCUCUAAGGAAAAAAUUAACAUAUAAAUAUUUUUUUUAUUCCAUUAGAACUUAUGAAAAUGAAUUUUAAACCACUAGGACCUCGAGUAGCUUGAUAAUUAACAAUUCUUUUAACAUGCCUUAAACUGCUAACCUGGUUUACUCAACCAAAUUUGCUGUGUGGGUCAGGCUGGACCUAAAUUUCAUUUAAGAGCCUUACAAAUAGCUCUAAGCAGUUUGAAGCACUCAUAUCAUAAUAACCCAUGUGAUACAAAGGAAGAUUCUUAGAAGUUGGAAUCUGCCAGAAAGCAAUAGAUGACUUCUACAAUCACGUGUACUGAUCAUCAUCAGUCUUUAAGGAACUUCAAGGAUUUUUGAUCUGAAUAAUAGAUAAAGUAAAUAGAAAGAUGUUUAUAUUAUGGAAUCAGUUGUUCCCAUAUUGGAAAAACCUAUUGAUAUUUUUCCUUCCAAGUUUGAGUCUAGAUAGAUUUGCAAUGCUGUAGGAUCACCUCCAACAUUUUUAAUUAAUAUUUCAGUUCCAUCUGUAAAGACUGCAACAUUAUCUGUGCGAGAUUUCUUAUUCAGUUUAUUCUUUGUUAUCUUGAUGUCUCUUAGAAAACUGGUUGCAUUUUUAUUGAAAACUCACAAUAAUUAAAGCUGAUAAAAAUAGCUUUAUGAGACAUCCUUGCUAGAGGUCUGUAUUUUAUUUGAUAAAAUUAAUUGGGGUAAAUGAAGAACUAAGGGGUCUCGAUGUUUUCUUUGAUCCAAAACCUUGUCCAACUGCAUUGAGACUGAACCUUUUCAGUUUAGAAUUUUGCAUUAUCUAUUAGUGACUUGUAGGGUUUUAUAUAUCUAUGACAAAACAAGCCUUAUUUUCUGAAACCCUUCUGCGUUCUACAGAGGUUGACCAUUUUCGGUAUCGAGCAGCAUGCUGUUAGCCUACUAUUUUUGAAAUAAUCUUCUUGGUAAAUUGCAAGAAUAAGUAGCACUGUAUUUUGGAACAGUUUCAGCAAUGGUACCUCUUGGUAUAAAGCUUGGAAAGGUAUGACUAAUCUCUUGUAGGAUACUCCCUAAAGUGAAGAAAGUGUAUAGUGGCAUGCACAUCCUUAACUAAGAAAAAUUUUGAAAGGGCAGCAGUAAAUUGUUUGUCUUUGAGAAUUGCCAAUCGAAGAUCCUUCUUCAUGUAUUUAAUAGUCUCUCCGCCAAGUCUUGCUAGCCAUCGAUUAAAUACAGCAGAAACAACUUCAGGAUUAGCAACAAAGUUACUUUUAGCAAGGUUAAUAAUCUCAUGUGGAGUAUCUUCUUAUUUUUUAGUUGAUAUUAGUCAAUGAAUUUAGUUCUAGAAUAUUUUUAUCAGUCAAAAUUUUUCCUGCUCAACUUGAUAUCACUUAUUUCAACUUUUUCUGGGGACAAACUGCAAGAAUACUUUUGGUUUCUAUCACUGUUAUCCAACCAUCUUUUGAUUUCAACCUUGUUAGGUAUCGUUUUCCAAAGUUGUGGACUCCAGAAUACUUAAUCCUGCACAAUCUCCCUUUUAUGUAAACUUCAUUACUUCACAAAAUUAUUUCUAGGUAGCAUUGAGCUUGUUUUAAUGUUGUUUUGCUUACAAGUUUGUUCUUUUCUUUUGUUGCAUAGAUCUCAGCUGCCUUUUCUUUUGUCUAAUCAGGAGAAGAAAUUGUAUGAUGUUUUUUGUUUGAGCAUCUGUUGCCUUUGGACGCUCUUGAGUUCCUCCCUCUCGAGCUAUCUUGUCAUUACAAUCUCUCAUUUGAGCAAACAUCAUUACAUAUUUAUUUUGUGUAUUUCAUUUGAGCAAACAUCAUUAAUUAAUAAUGUUUGCUGCUUUAUGAAAAGAGAUCAUAAACUCUUUUAUUAUUAGAUUUUUCAAAAUGAACUUCAAGACUAUUUGCCUUGUGUUUCUCGCACUGUAUAUGAGCUCGAUUUGUUUAUUGAGUUUCAAAAACACCUAAAUCAUGUUAUAUUUGCUACUACUUUGUUCAUGGUCAUCAGAUCUGACUUAUCCAUCUUUAUACUCAUGUAACCUAUUCUUGACUGAUGUUAGUACUUCGACCUGCCAGCAUCCCCCAUACUCUUUUUUACCCAAAAAGGCAUGCUUAGGCAACCUUGAAUACUAUGGUAUAACAUGUUUUCCCAUCAGUUAAUGAGCACAUAAAAAAUAUUUGUGGCACUUGCGUGCUUGUUAGUAUACCAAGCUUUUUUGAUUUGAAUUUCUAUUAAAGAUUUAUUAUCAGGUUAUCCUGGAAAUAUGAGCUAGGAUUAUUUUUUAUGAGUGUCUUUAUGGGUUUUGUGUGCAUUCAUGAUUAUUGUAUUAGAUGAUCCAGAACCAAAAUCCCAUUUUCUUGUAUGUGGGUGCUUGUUAACAAAUUCUGUCACUGAUAAUAUUUAUUGAUUUUUGAGCUUGUCCUUUAAUUUCCAGGCUAUUUGCUGCUUUUUAGGUAAUUUCUGAAAUCUGGCCAUGUUUUUGUGGCACACAGGGAUCCUUCAAUAGCACUGGGCUGAUUGUGUCUUCCAAGCUGCCAAGGUUCUCUGACUUGUAUACUCUUACAAUUGCUAGCGCAGACCCAAAGUCCAUUUCUGCUAAUAAAACAGUCCACCUGACUAAGAGUGUGACAAAAUGGUUUGUUCUUGCUAUUGUUUUGCUUUUCAGCAAAGGUUUUGCUGCUUCUCUUGCAAUGUAUUGAAUUCUGAUGUUUUUCAUUGCCCAUGGCUGAAAAAAAAGGAUUAGUAGAACAUUUAUCUGAACCACAAGAAAAUGAGGAACAACAACCAUGUUGGAAUUCAUUUUUCAUGAGGAAGUGUUUAAUAAAUGAUCCUUCAAGAGGUUUAUAGUGGCUUUUGUAUAUUUCUCAUAAACAUGAAAAGGAGUGAUGAGAUUUCCAUUAUGUGAUAAUUAGGACUAAUAUUGGCGAGUCGUUCCUAUUGGAUUGCCUGCAUUGUUGGUCUUCUUCACCUUUUAGUGUUAAUAAGAAAAUCUUACGGAUGGCAAGCCUCUAUUGCCUUACUUGUUUAGCCUCCACUUACUUAAAUGUUCUCUUUCUUUGAAUUAUACUUAGAAUGAUUCUAUGAAUUUGCAUUGAUAUGCUGCAUCAUUGAUAUCUUAACCAUGACCAACAAGUUUCUGGCUAGUUAUAUUGGUUUGGAUUUGCAGAUAUUUCUACUAUCAUUGAUUGUUUUGUUCUUACUUCAGCCCUUACAUCCAUUGCGAUUCCUAGUUUUCAAGAGUAGUUGUAUGUACCCAACAAUUGAGUGUGUCCAUUUAAUAGUGGCUAAGCAUUCUUCCUCAAAAGGAUUCAUAUUAUUGCUUUCUAUUGCAACUUUCUCUGCCACUGUUAUCUCUGAUGCUUUCACUCACUAGUUUUCUUGUCAGGUUCACCAAAGAUGGGGUCCUUGUGGAAGGUUUGUUCUGGAAGGACGUUGAGAGACUGAUCGAUGAUUAUAAUGGAGAACGAAAGAACAAAUGACUGUGGAUUUCCUGCCUUGAUGGAAAGAUGGAGGUUGGUCUCAGAAAAGUACUCUCUCUGCUGUCAGUUUCAUAAAAAUAUCCAUUCCUGAUCUGAAAAAAAUAUUAUAUUUAAAAAGAACAUGAUGUAGCCUAAUCAUCAUUUUAUUGGCACAUGAAAAUUAUGGAUUUUUUUGGUGAUCCUUUUUGAUAUCUAAUCAUUUAGGCUUCGUUUGGUAGAGUCGUUGGCAGUAGAGCUUUCGAAAGUAUAGCUUUUUGAAGUAGAGCUUUUAUAAAAUGCUAUUUGUUGCUUGGUGAAACUUUAAUAUGCAUUUGGUAAACAAACUAAGAAAGUAUUUAGAGAAGCUAACGGUACUGCGGAUUGGGUGGCCAGCCAUGCCAGUAGCACCUUAUGGGCUGAGGAUGGGGAGCUGCCUCGGAAGCUCCACGAUAUUCUGUUUUCUAAUUUUAUUGGGUGUAUUCGUACACGUAUUAUAUGAAUUACCUGCUUUAACAAAAAAAAAAACAAACUAAGAAAGUACUUUUGGUAUGAUAAAAUGACCAUAAAGGAUAUUACAUAGUAUUAUACAAUAGUUUAUAAUAAAAUAUAAUAUAUAUUAAUACAUAAAUAUAUAAUAUCGUAUAAUAUUAUUGUAAUGUAAUAUAAUAUAAUAUUAUUAUAAUAUAGUAAUAUAAUAUUGUAUAUUAUAGCAUAAUAAUAUAACAUAAUUUGAUAUUACAUAACAUAACAUAUCAAUGUAUUAUAAUAUAAUGUAAUAUAGUAUUAUAGUUAUAGCAUAAUACAAUAAUAAAAGUAUAAAAUAUUAUAAUUAUGAUCAUUAUAUAUUAAUAUUUUAUCAAUAUAAUAUUUUUAGGAACUAAUUUUUAGGUUUUUAUUUUUUUGUUGGGAUUCUUGCAUAUUUCUGUAAUAUGAAGGGAUAUUUUUUGUAAUUAUAAUAUUUUAUCAUGGGUAUUUUGGUCUAAAAAGAAAAAAAUUAUAAAUCAAAACAGUUUUCUGACGUAUGUUAAAAGUGUUUUUCCGAAGAAACUUUAUUUUGGAGCUUCUCUGAAGAAGAAGUAUUAGCUUUCUAGCAAAGCUAAAAUAAUUUUUUGAUUUUUUUACCAAACACCUCUAUUUCAUUCAAAAGUAUUUUUGGAGGGUUAGAAAGCCUUUUUGAUCCACCAAAAGUUCUACCAAACGAGGUCUUAGACUAGCAUUAUGGACUUGUUUGAUUCAUAGGGAGCGAAGGGGGAAAGUGUGGUCAAUAAAAAAAUAAAAAAAUGCCACGUAUUUGGUUGGAAGUUUUAAAGGAGAAAGAUGGGAAAGUAGUUUUCCCAUAAAAAUAAGUUUUCCAUAUUUCAUAGAAAAGAAAAUAUAUAUGGAAUAUAGAAAAGCCACUUUUUCACAUGUUGGAAAUUGCGGUAAUUUUUUUACCAAAAAAUGCCCUUAAAUCAUUGUGAUAUUCUUAAUAGCUAUUUUUACUAGUUAAUUAUGGACUAUUAAAAAUAUACUAUUAAGAAUUACCACAGUUUAAAAAAGUUAUGGUAAUUUUAAUAUAAAAAUAUAUUAUAACUAUUAAAAAUUAUCACAAUAUAAAGAAGUUUGUAACUAUUAAAAAUUGGUAGAACUUUAAAAACUCAACUCAAUAAAUAUUUGUAAUAUAUAUUUUUAAAUUAUAUAUAUGCAACUAAACUCAACUCAUAUGAAUAUAUUAUAUAUACGUAAAACUUAAGUAAAGAGUGAUGAUACUAUAAUAGCAUCUUCCUACAUAUGGUUCUUAAACAUUAGUCUUCUCUAAUUUUUUGAAUUUUUAAACAAUCCUUGCAAGCUUAUCUGUUAUGCUUUAAUAAUUUGAAACCUAUUGACCCUAAUCUUUCUACUUUUUGUAUUAGUCAUUAUGUGAUUGUAAAUUCAAAUACAAAUCAAACUCGAUUGAAGUUACCAAAACAAAACCAUCUAAGGCCAUUCAUAUAUCGACUUUUAAACUGAGUACAUUACUUUUGGGCUCCAAUUAGCCAAGUCAAAAGCUGAAAGAAGUCAUAUGCCAUUGAAGCGAGUAUACUUAUUUUCAUUGGAAGUAAUAACAAACCAGUUCCAUAUAUACAAUCAAGAAUACUCCUAAAAUUCGCAAAAACAUUUAAGAAUAGAAGCAACUAAUCAAACAUCUCCUUUCUUAGUUUUCUUUGAGCUCGAAUCCUUCAGCUUUCUUAGUAGAAUCUGAGUUACUAUAAAAUUAACAUUUGAAUGAUUGUCUUGUGAAGGUUGCAUAUCCAUAUUCUCGACGAAUAUCCUUUACGAUAUCAGUUGGCCUAUAUAACGGCAUAUCUUGAAGUUUAUCUUUAACAAUAUUUGACACCCAACAUUUUGAAGCUUUAGGAUGCGACCGGACUUGCAACCCUCCGCCACAUGUAUGCUGAUUGUUCAUUUUUUUAGCUGCGAAUCUUUUUUGAUUCUCAAGUUGGGAAGCAUGGAUACGCCAUUCACAUUCUUCAUAUGCACAUUUUACGGUCACUCGCUGACGAUCGUUCUUCAUAAACACAAAAUCUCUAUAAUUUGCAAAGAGUUUUCACAUCAUUGAACUCUUGACCAAUGCCCUCUAUAGAGGGUUUCCAAGCAUCCAAAGAAUUUUUUUGACUAGGUUGCUCUUCGAUCGCAGCUCUUGUUUCUUCAACAACUCGACCCAAAUUACUUGAGCUACCCUUUGAAAAAUUUCUGGAUCUGCAACUAAACUCAACAUUUUGGGAUGGGCCACUUUCCCUACAAUAAGUUAAACAAAAAUUCAGCAUACUAACUAGUAAAUUUGUGCUUAACAUGCACAAACUAACAAUUGAAAUAUGCAAUACAAUAAAGAUUUAAACUAAGGAUGCCAAAAUAGAAACAGAUGCAAUUAUCUUGUGCAUUACCUCAUAUCAAUUACCACAUCAGCUGCUUCGGUCAAGCAUGGAAUAUGACUAACAACCAUCUCAAUCACCGGCACAUUUAAGUUGACGUGUAUUUGAUGCAUAUUCCGAACAUCUUUAUUGCCUAGGAGCGUAAUAAACAUCUAGACUUGUUUGAAAUAUAAUAUUUAACUUCUACCAUGGUAUCAGAUAGAUGUCUCCACCUUUUCACUAUUUUCUUGUAACUUUGAUCGAGAUUUGUGUCUUCGGAGAUGGAAAUAAUAAGAGCUCCGCUACCAUAAGAACAAAUAGCCAUGAAAACAGGGCUACUUUUGUUCCUUGAAGCCAUGACAAUGGAAAAAGGAGAGAGGGAUGAACUGAUCGAAAUUUUGAUGCUAUUUCAACAAUGAAGCGAAGGAAAUGCUGCCACAUGAACUAUUUUUCGUAUAGGAUAUCAGCAAUGAAAGACACAGAAGAAGUUUUCCAAAUAGGAUAUGAACACAAGAAGAUAAUCCAACUAAAAUUGGAUUUUUGUUUAAUCACAAUAGGGAAACAGAGAAGAACAGAGGGAUAUCUCAGUGGAUUAUGGAAAAUCUGAAUAGAAUUUCAACCUCUUUUACUCUUCUGCAAUCAAACCAUUGCCACUAAAGAUCGAAAGGGACUCUCUGCAAAUAAAUAAGGGGCAAUCUGAAUUUUCGGUAACUCAUAGAGAAGAAAUUCUCAGCAAUCUGAAUUUUCAGCAACUCACAGAGAAGAAACUCUCUGUUUCUUCUUUGGUUCACCUAUAACAUCUAACUCUCUUUGGCCUCGUUCUCAAUAGAGAAACUCUCACCGGCUCUCUGCCAACAUAUAAGGUAUCAAAAGGGACUCUCUAGAAAAAAAACCAAGCAAUCUGAAUUUUCUGCAACAGGAAACAAAAAGUUUCUUCUCUGUUUCUUCUUUGGUUCACUUAUAACAGUCUAACUCUUUUUGGCCACACUAUCAAUGGAGAAACUCUCCCCAACUCUCUGCCAAUAGAUAAGGUUCUAUUUCUAUUUUUUCAGCUACAUGAAACAGAAAAGAGGGAGCGGAACCAAAAGCCCUGUUUGCAGAACAUUUCCCAACCGUUUUCACAAGUUUUGAACCUUAACGGCAACGAAAGGGCAUCUUUGGAAUUAAAAAAAAAACUCUGUUAAGGACCGGUAAUUAAGAUUCUCUCUCAUCUUGGACCGGAAAGCUCUGUUUGGGUCAACAGGGAUUUUUUAUUACACUGUAGUCAUAGGGAGGGUCAGGAAUUAAUUUCACCUUUUUUUUCUUCUCUUGGGCCUAUUUCAUUGAUGGGCCCGGCCAAUAGGCUAUAUCUAUGACAAAACAAGCCUUAUUUUCUGAAACCCUUUCAUUAUCUAGCAGUGUGCUGUUAGCCUACUAUUUUUGAAAUAAUCUUCUUGAUAAAUUGCAAGAAUAAGUAGCACUAUAUUUUCGAACGGUUUCAGCAAUGGUACUUCUUGGUAUCAAGCUUGGAUAGGUAUGACUAAUCUCUUGUAGGAUACUCCCUAAAGCAAUGAAAGUGUAUAGUAGCACACACAUCCUUAACUAAGAAAAUUUUGAAAGGGCAGCAGUAAAUUGUUUGUCUUUGAGAAUUGCCAAUUGAAGAUCCUUCUUCAUGUAUUUAAUAUGCUCUCUGCCAACUUCUCUUGCUAGCCAUCAAGUAGCUACAGCAGAAACAACUUUAGGAUUAGCAACAAAGUUAAUUUUAGCAAGGUUAAUAAUCUCAUGUGGAGUAUCUUCUUAUUUUUUUAGUUGAUAUUAGUCAAUGAAUUUAGUUCUAGAAUAUCCUUAUCAGUCAAAAUCCUUCCUGCUCAACUUGAUAUCACUUAUUUCAACUUUUUUUGGGGACAAACUGCAAGGAUACUUUUGGUUUCUAUCUCUGUUAUCCAACCUUCUUUUGAUUUCAACCUUGUUAGGUAUCGUUUUCCAAAAUUGUGGACUCCAGAAUACUCAAUCCUGCACAAUCUCCCUUUUGUGCGAACUUCAUAACUUUACAAAAUUAUUUCUAGGUAGCCUUGACCUUGUUUUAAUGUUGUUUUGCUUACAAGUUUGUUCUUUUCUUUUGUUGCAUAGUUCUCAGCUGCCUUUUCUUUUGUCUAAUCAGGAGAAGAAAUAAUAUGAUGUUUUUUGUUUGAGCAUCUGUUGCCUUUGGACACUCUUUGAGUUCCUACCUCUAGAACUAUCUUGUCAUUACAAUCUCUCAUUUGAGCAAACAUCAUUACGCAUUUGUUUUGUGUAUUUCAAAUUCUCUUGCUUGCCAGCAAGUUGCCUUCAUAGCCUACAUGAGCUUAACUAUUUAUCUGGAAAAAGAACUGCAGGGAUGUGAAUUUCAAAACUGUUGUGAAUUGCAAAACUGUUGUGAUGAUUCUGGCCGGCCUACCGACCGACAGCCACACAAUCUCAAAGCAAAGAGGACAUGAGCUAGGAGUUUAAGAUGCAGCCAAUUUCUUUUCUUUAAAUUUAUUGUAGUUAUAAUUCUUCCUCUUGAACUUGUCAGGUUACUGAUGAUUCAACUCCUACCCUCUGUUUGGUGCUAAGGAUGAAUUGGAGGAGAGGAUGGAUAGGUCUUCUAUCCAUUCUCCUAUGUGCUUGUGAAACAAAGAAAGUUGGAUGGAAAUGAUUCUCUGAAAAAAAAAGAAUAAAUAAUAUUUAUAUAAUAUUUUUACUAGACUAUCUUUUGAUAAACGAUAUUAUUAUUAUCAAUUUAUAACAAUUUUUAUGCUAAAGAAGUAGGACAAUAUUUAAAUAUAUAAUCUUUAUAAUUUGUGAUUAUAUAAAUUAAUAUAAAAUUAAAUAAAUAAUUUUAUAAAUCAAUUAUAUAUAAAUUAAUAUAUAUAUAUAUAUAUAUUAAUUAUAUAAAUAACUUAUUAAUUUAUAGUUUAAUAACUGAUAUUAUGAUUCUUCCUAUUAUGGGCAAGAACAUGAUACUGUGCAUUAUCUCAUAUGAGCUAGAGCAUGGCGUCAUUUAUUAUCCCAUCAUGGGUAGGAAAUGUGAUCGUGCCUAGUCAAAUGUUGAAAAAUAACUUAAAUUGCUUAUUAUACCCUCAGUAUGUUUGUUGAACUCAAUACCUGUUAAAAUAUUGUCAAAUGGUAUUAAUUAUUUAUUUCGAAUGACUAUCGCAUGGAAUUAUUAGUUUGGUUGUUAAAUAUUAUCAUGGCUUGUUAAAUAGUGAAAAUAAAAAUUCAAGUACUGAUUUUUUACUGAGUUGUUAACUCAUGCUAUACUUUUUUAUCUUUCUUUUCAGAGCCAUAGAAUGCUUAGUACUCAACUAUGGUUUGAAAUUAUUGGUGCAAGAUGGAAUCGUUAGAGCAUCUCCGAUACCAAUUAAAUAUUUGAAAUUUGUAGUUGAACAACUUUUAUAUCUAUUGAUUGUGGGAUUAUAUUACUUUGUCUCUAAAUGAUUAUUAUAUUUUUAUUUUUUCUAUUAUUGUGAGAUUUAGUUUAAAUCUACUGACCUUGCAUAUCCAUUGGAGUCGUAUCAUAUGUAAUAUGCAAAAUCGAAGAUAUUGAACGACAAAGAGAAUAACAUUGAGCUACAAUUUAGGAAAUAAUGACAAAAGAAAGAAGAAAAAUGGAGAGAAACAUGGAAGUACAAUGACAAAAUACAUAAUUCAUUUUAUUUCCCCCAAAUAAAGAUGUAUUCUAAAUUUAGGAUGCAUUUGGUUCGCGACCGGAAUCAGAAUCAAAAUUAGAAUGGAUUGAAAUCAGAAUCGAAAUGGUCAUUUGUGAUGUGUUUGGUUUGUGACUAAAAUUAGAAUUGAAAUUGAAAUAGAAUUUGAAUACUAGAAGAGGGAGAAGAGAAAGUAGAGAGAAAGAGAGAAGGGAGAAGAGAGAGAGAGCUCUCUUCUUCUUUUCCAAAAUAGGAGAGAGCCCGCUGUCCCUUUCUUCUCAUAUCAAGUGUGACAACGGCUAAGAAUGCCCAGCUCUAGGGAUGGCGGCCAUGGGCGGCCUUUAGAUAUGGCACCAACUGGAAAACAUAAGGAAGAAAUACCACGAGGGGCAAGGGAUGAUCCACACCAAUCUCGGCCUAGAUUCUAGCCGACCCGCUGACCGACAGCCACACAAUUUCAAAGCUCCCAGAAGGCGGCGAGACCUGGCCAAACCUAGCGGUCGUCGGCAAUACUCAUGGGAGAAAAGGGGCCAAAAUAGGGCACCCUUGUUUCAGAUGAGAUUAUGGCUAUUCAUCAGUCCAAAUCAUAGUGGCAACAGCUAUAAAUCUAGAAAAAGAAAGAGUUGUGGUUUGGUUACCUCGUUCCAGUAAGGUGGUCUGACGGCUUGUCCGUCAGAGAUUCAAGGAAGAGGUUCAGAGAAGGAGCUUAGGAUCGGCGACUAUUCCUUGAGUUAUCAAGGAUGGUAUUUAAUGGGGAAGGUGGAGAAUCUUAAAUAGAGGGAAUCCUAGAGUUCUAGAUAAACUUGGAUUGUCUAAGAGCCCUGGAUUCCGAUGAAAUUAGAGAUCGAAGUCCUCUUACGUACAACAGAGCACAUUGAGCUAAGGCCCAGCCCUCUUCGGGCCAGCCAACCAGCCCAAGAAACACAGGUUAUCACAACAUCCUCUUUUACAUUAUUUACUUUUAUUGUCUUUUUUUUUCUUUCUAAGUUUAAUCAGGUGAGUUCUUUCUGAACUUCUUGUGCAUGCUCUGCAUCUUUUCCAAAGUUUGGAUCCUUUGGUAUCUAACUUGCGNNNNNNNNNNNNNNNNNNNNNAUCGGUCCUCCACCAUAGAAGAAAGGGAAUUGCUGAGGUCCACUGAAUCUUAUGGUUAAUCCUACGUCCAAAGUAGGAACAAGUCUUGCAGAAAGAUGCAGCCAUAGGGUACGCCAAGCUUUUAGCUGUCAUAUGUCCUGUUAUGCUGCUUCCAGUCCUUUGUAAUGGACCAGAUGUUGAUAGAUCUUUUAACAUCAAUGCAAGCCUCUUAAUUUCACCAUGUAUAGAUGACAACAGAUGCUUUCCUGUCUAUAUUUUGUACUAGUAGGCAUAUUCUCUAGCCAAUCCUAUAUGUUCUUUCUAUGGUUAAAAUGAACUUAAAAUUAAUAACGAGGAAAAGACGUAAAAAAAUAAACAAGGAAAAGAAGUUUAUAUAACAAUAUAUAUAAAAAUUAAUAACAAAGAACUUUAGAACCUUCAGUGGCUUAGUGUCCUCCAAUACAUAACCAUAUUUCGUUAUCAUUGAAACAUUGUAGCUCUAAACUUGCAACCAUGAAAACGUGUAACUAUAUUUCUCCCACCAUUAAAACCAUGCAUCACACCUCAAUCCCUCGACCUCAAAUUCAGAACCAUCAACCAGUAGAAGUAUCUUUUGUCAUUGCAUGUUAAGAUGUUAUGGAGAACCAAAUUAUUCGAGUUCGAACACAUCCAAUAAAAAUCAAAAAAUCAGAAUGUCACGAAAUGUCCUAGGCAAAUCCUCUCUUCAGGUCCACAGGUUGCUAUCGAAGUGAUUGGCCGCAUAAGCGGCCACUUGCUCUGCAGCACUGUUGGCCUCUUGAAAAACUGUGCUUCGUUCGAAAGGCCAUCCCGUCUUCACUCAUCGACCAAUUGUCCCAAGUAGAAGGUAGUUCCCAUCCUGGCCACUUGGACCCUUUUGGAUCCAAUCUACUACUGUAAUUGAGUCAUCUUCUAAACUCUCUCUCUCUCUCCCUCUUUUUCUCACACGCACACACAACAGAAACGUCUUUAUUUUAGAGGGUUUCUUCGGACUCGCUGCUAUUCAGUGCUGAACAGCUCAGCAGCCCGUCGGUUUCUUCGGACCAAUUCCCACCGCAUGCAUGCAGGUGAAACGCUGCAUGCCGUCCACUUCCCUAUCCCAUAGAACAACUCUUCUAUAUAUAUAUAAAUUACCUCACACUGAAUGGCAGCAACUCAUGCAGUCAGCUAAAAGAAAGAACUAGUAAGUCAGCUCAAGAUAAGGCAACCAUGCUUCCUAUCCUCCUCCUUUGCUUCCUCCUCCCCUCCUCCCAUGCCGCGGACUUCUGCGUCGCGGACCUCAUGGGCUCCCUGACCCCCUCGGGCUACCAGUGCAAGGUGGAAUCUGCCGUCACCACCGACGACUUUGUCUUCACGGGCCUCGGCGUCGUCGGCAACACCUCCAACAUCAUCAAGGCUGCAGUGACGCCGGCCUUUGCCGCCCAGUUCCCCGGCGUCAACGGGCUGGGCAUCUCCGCCGCUCGCCUCGACCUUGCUGCAGGGGGUGUCAUUCCCCUCCACACCCACCCUGCUGCCUCCGAGCUUCUCGUGGUCACCAAGGGCAUCAUCGUUGCUGGCUUCAUCUCCUCAGCCAAUACUGUGUACUAUAUGACCCUCCACAAGGGUGACACCAUGGUCUUCCCCCAAGGGCUGCUGCACUUCCAAGUAAAUGGUGGCGGGACGCCGGCGGUUGCCAUCGUGAGCUUCAGCAGCCCAAGCCCAGGGCUUCAGAUAACAUCAUUCGCGCUCUUUGCCAACAAUUUACCAUCAGCAUUGGUGGAGAAGGUUACCUUCCUCGAUGAUGCUGAAGUGAAGAAGCUCAAGAAGGUGCUUGGAGGGACCGGGUAAGGGAGCAAGCUUUUCAACCAGAGAGUUGAUUUGAUGGGAGUUGUCUAGCUGAGGUUUUUCUGUGUAUUGAGUGCUAGGUGUGCUUCUUUUGUUGUGGGCAACUGGUGGCGUAUGGACUCUUUUGUUUUGGGUGAGGUGUUGUGAGGUGAUCAAAUCUAAUUACGUACGCUUGGCCUGGACGUCGGAAUUGUUAAAAUUCAUGGAAAAAAAUUUCUUUUUCUUCUUCCCCUCCCCUAAACAAGUCUAAUUAAAUAGUUUAACGGAUAAAAUAGAGAUAAUCUUGGAUUGCAUGGAAAAGGGAACCUUUUAGCAUGAUCCACAUCAUUCUUCAGAACAGCCAAAAGUUUCCACGGAUGUAAUACCAAAGCUGAUGAAGGCCAAGAAGUGUGCUAAUUAAUCACCUAUCCAUUAAACAUCUGCUACAUAGAAAAACUGUAGAAAUAUUUUUUAGGCAAAACUAUGGAGUAUUCGAGCUUCCUGAGAAGCAUGCCUCAUGUAGCAGGCAUGUCACAUAUGACAUGCUUCAGAAUUCGUAAGUAGGAAAAUCAUAAUGAAGUCUGUUACAGCAAUAUAUAGCAACUUAAUAACUAAUAGCACUAUUGUUUUGAAAAUCCAUAUAUAUUUUGAAAUUAUUUUUUAAAAAAGCAUGAAUAUUUCUUCAAAUUCAGAACUAUAAACUAAUAUAAUUGGAGGAUUACAAAUUAAAUAUGUUACGACCUCAACAGUAAUUAAUUGCAGUAUUAAUUAAGUCAGCAUCUCUUCUUUUUUUCUUUUUUUUGAGGGAAAGGUCAGUUAUUUCAAACAUUGAUUAAACAAGCUUGAAGUACUUGGCAUGUCAUUGCAUUUGAAUCCUCCCGUAGGCUAUGAUAGCUUUACAAGUAGGUAGGUCAAAUUAAUUACAGUCAAGUUGCAGCAAUUAUAGCACCAACUUAUUUGGUGACUUGAGAGGGUGCUUAAUGUACAUAUGGAGUAUGCUUGUGGCGGUUUUCUUUCUGGUAGCCUGUCCAUCUCAUGCACCUGAGAAAUCAUUUUCUUGGGCUAUUGGCAUGGCCAAGUGGUCCAUCCAUUUCGGCCACUUGAUAUUUAACCAACCCUGUGGCCUUUCUUUUCUUGCUUUGAUCUUUUCUAAACCCCCGUUUCUUGGAAACACUUUGAUGCUUGUCUACGUUUCGAGACGAAAGAAAAGGCGCACGGACUGCCAGUUCGCAGGUGAGAAGUUUAAACUGUGAAACAAAUCCUAUUUUGAUGUUGUUUUCCCUUCUCCGUUUGAGAGAAAGGUACUGAUUCACUUGUAAAGCAUGUUUAAUGGAGACAAAUAGGUGCCGAGGCACCUAAAGAAUUUUAUUCCGAAGAAGCGAACCUUGCAAAAUAGAGGGAGGAAAACAAAAAAAGGGAAGAGAAGAGAAAGUGAACAGAGAAGAAGCAAAGAAAGGAUGAAACAAGCUCGAAGUCUAAGCUUUCCCUUAACUUUGAUCACUCUGAAAACCCUCUUGGUAGCGGCUAACAAACGCUAAUAUAUCAGUGAUACACAACAAGUGAUUUUAGUUCGAGUUGGGUGUGCUAUAAUAUAUAUGCCUCAUAUAUAUAUACACAGACACACACACACACACACACACAACCGUGCAUUAGCCAAUCAGCAUAUUUUACCUUUGCAAGAUGAAUUACGGCCCAAUACAAUACCCAUCAUUGGAUCGAGCUCACGGCUUUUGCGCUCACAGUUCAGGCCAGUGGGCAUUGGCAUGAACGUCCAAGUUCAACCCUAAACUUGAUUUGAUCUGAGGCCCAACCCAGUCCAACCUGAGCCAUUGACACUCCUGAUACGUUUUCUUGGGGACAAUGCAGAGUUCGUACUUACAAAGUUUUUCAAGAAAAAAAAAGAAAGCAUCUUAACUUUCUUCUAUUAUCAUUCACUAAUCUUCACCUUGGAGUACUGCAUUCCAUAAAUACUAGACUUUUCUCUUGAGUACCGCUGCUGGUCACCCAUGAGAUCACAUCAAGCUAAUGUUGCAGCCGGGAACUGGUGUAGUAUAUAUAUGAGCUGGUCGAUGUUGUUAGUCGGGCCAACCUAAUGCUUGGCUAAUCACUGGCUUCCACACUGGAUGGCGAACUAAGCAGUGGGCUGAUGGGAGAUCUCCAGCUUCUCCUGUCUCUUUACAUUUGCGUAUGACCUCUCCACGAGUUGGAUUUCAACGCAUCUCUUGGAUAAUUAACAACCAAACUAAUGUUCAAAAGGUCACUCAAAUAUUUCAAAUCAAAUGGCAUACCCGUAUCAUAUUCAUACCAAAGAUCACUACUUGUCAAAUACUUCUUAGUUAUGAAUAUGACAUUUGUGUUAAGUUUUUGUGAGGACCAUGCAGGCGUGUGUUUAGUUCUACAUCGGUUAUUUUUGGAUAGAUCUUGUGUACUUAUAAAGAAUCAAGGACCAAAACAAUACAUUCCAGUUAGCCAUUUUGGGUGAGGUCCUAUGUUGUUACAAAUAGUAUCAGAGCAGACCCGGCCCAUAACCUAUGCGGACUACGAGAUACUGCCGCACGGAUUCAUUGGGAUUGACCGUGGGCCGAUCAUGGUGCUUGUGAUUAGAAUUGAAUGAAUUUGAAUCCUUAGCCUGAUGAGGACAUCAGGGCUUAAACAUAUGAGUAUGUAAGGACUUGUACAUGCAUAUGUUUAGUUUCACAUCGGUUAUUCGCUGGAUAGAUUUUGGGUACUUAUAUAGGAUCAAGAAAUUCAAAUAAUACUUUCUAGUUAGCUAUUUUGGGUGAGGUUCUGAAUUGCUAUGGUAAGCUGCUACAAAUAUAAUCUUGAAAGUGUGACAGGCUCCAAAAUUUGAAGAAUUGCUUCGAUUCUUGAAAGGACGAAAGCCUUUAAAGUUUAAUGUGCUGCUUUUGUUUUGUCCUACUCCAACAAGAGGCUAUUGUUGAGUUAAUCUUCACUGCUCUUCCUUACAGCUCAUCAAAUAAAGAGGCAAAUGGAAUAACACUGGUCCAUGCAUCCUUCCAAAAUCUGAUGGUAACACCAUCGCAUAGGUUAAAGUUUGAUGUUCUUAAAACUUCUUUCAAACAUAAUAGGAAUUUUUAAUUUGCCUGCUCCAGGAUGCUUCAGGUCUUCAAAGUAGUUUUCGUGCCCACUUUGCUAAUACGGACACAUUGAGAUUGCUAAUAUUCUUAAUAUCCAGUCCCUCAUCCUUCUUAUCUCAGCCUACACCGUCGAGAUGAAAAAGCAUCAUAGCUCAUGUGGGUUAGAGGCCUACUUUGACAAACAAAUUAAGGUGGUCCCAUCAAAUCUCGUCCCACCCUAGCUCGGGUUUUAUCUUUUGUGCAACCAAUGCAACGAAUAAUUCACCCUUUAUCGCAAUAUGCGCUGUUGGAUCGCAUAACAGCUGCCAUGAGAUCUGUGUAGACAAACAAAAGAAGGAGUUAUUAUUUGAACGAGGUACGUAGGCUUUUUGCUCCUCCGUCACUAUGUAGUCUUUUUUUUAAUGAUUCAACUGACUGUGCUCAUGCGAGAUUAGUAUAAGCAUCUGAUGUAUUAAAAAAAUAAAAAAAAUUUGAAAUGUUUGAGAUCUGUGCAAGAUAUGAUCUAACGAUUGAUAUUGUGAAAGGAGAACAAAAGAUACAAACCGCACCCGCACCCGCACCCGCAACUCCCAUAUUUAGCUUGCUGAAGUGGGUGGGAGGGGGAAGCCAUCCUCGGAUUCCCAUGGGCCACAAAAUUCCUUUUGUCAGGAGGACCGAAUUCCAUCAAAAAGGAGGCGAUUGCCAGCCUUUCACAAAUUCCAAAAAAAAAAAAAGGGUAAGUAGAGUACUCAUGCCCCAGACUGGCUCCGUGUGACCCUCUCAGAACCCGAGCUGUAGCCACCAGUGCGGGUGAAAUAGGCCGGGUUGGUUUAUGACUCGACCUGAUGGGAUUAAAUCCAAUGCAACCCUAUUUAAAUAACUCAUUAGACCGGGUUGAGCUCUAAAAUAGGAUCCAUUCCAUUUUUUGGGCUGAGUUAGAGUUUUUUGAAUUCUGGCCCUACCCAAUCCGAUCAAAUCCAUUUGAAAUUUGGAUAAUUUUAGAUUUCCAACCCUACAACCUACCCCGACUCGACUGACCCGAACCUGCUAAACUAUUUGGACUCGCGGGCCGCAGGGGUGCAAGCCUAACAGAUCAGCUGGGUGCUUAAGGCUCGGCCCAUUUGUGACUCUUAUGAGUUAAGACUUAAGAGUUAAGUCUUAACUCUUAAGNNNNNNNNNNNNNNNNNNNNCCUAUCCGAUCCGAUCAAAUUCAUUUGAAAUUUGGAUAAUUUUGGAUUUCCAACCCUACAACUUACCCUGACUCGACUGAUCCGAACUUGCUAAACUAUUUGGACUCGCGGGUCGCAGGGGUGCAAGCCUAACAGAUCAGCUGGAUGCUUGAGGCUCGGCCCAUCUGUGACUCUUAAGAGUUAAGAGUUAAGUCUUAACUCUUAAGACUUCGAUCUCCACUCUCUAGUCUCCACUAUUUCGAUUUUCCACUAAGCUCCAUCUCUUUGACUCUUCCCCUCUUCCGUGUAGCCAUCUCGAGUCUCGACCCAUCCAACCGUCCCAGUUCGGCAAAUUCCUAUCGGCCAUCGCUCUCUCACCCAGAUGGUAGACCCCAUAUGCAGUAGAUUCGCUAGUUCUUCUUGCCCAUCGCAAAUUGCAAUUGAUCUCACCCUUUGGUCGUACAAAACCCUCUGAUGACUUCGGUGCCUGGCGACUUUGGCGUACUUCGGUCCGACUAUCAGGGUACCCCCUCCUCUGAAACCCUAGAAUUGUAUAUUUACUAUUUAGGGAGAGUUGGGAGAGAGAGAGAAAGAUCAGGAAGCGAUGGCGAAUUACGGUAAUUAUCUAUCAUAUCUCAAGGUGGCUUCGGUAAAUCUCCAAUCUUUCUCGCUUUCUUCUUUGUUUUCUCAAUUUCUAUUAAUGUGCGCGAAUCGUCGGAUCAGACGACGAAUUAGGGUUGCAAGAAUCAAAUGCUUUGAGGCUUUCUUUAGAGCAACAUUGUUGUCUUUCUUGCUUCCGGAGCUAAUAUAGGCUAUAGACGGAGGGGUUGCAUUAAAAGGCAUGCGCCAUGUGUCUUUCUUGACAAAUCCAAGUCUCUCAUUUCAAAAACAUUUAUCUAGCAGUGGCAUCUUAAGUUCACCCUUUCUAGCUCUUUUUACCUAUCAUAAUCAUGACAUCCUCUUGAUGUUAAUGAUCUAGCAUGCUCCUCUUUUCAGUCCUAAUGAUAUAAUUAAUAAUGAUAGUUGAGGUCUUUGACCAUAGCUUGUGACUGAUCUUCAAGUUUCUUGCUUAGGGUCUCGAAAAAAAAAAGGAAGAAAAAGCAAGAUAUACCACAAAAAAAAGCUUUGAAAACAGUUGGUAAAUAUAAGGUACAUAUAGACUAAGUAAGGAGAAAACCCUAUUUUGGAGAUGAAUGAAUUUAUUUCUAUUCAAUUUUUUUUUAUAAUUAUGGAAUGACAUAAUUUUUACUUUAUUGUGAUGUAACUACCAAAAGCACUGGACGUGUUUAUUGAUAGCUUUCUACAAUAUGUUUCUUGUAUUCCCUCCUGCUAUGAUAAAAUAGGAUUUUUGUUUAAUAAUUAUUCUGCAAUAUUUUGAAAAAUUUCAAAAUGCAAUUGUUGAACAAACAUGUCCAACCCAGACCUGAACCAAACCCAAAUUUUCUGGGUUGGGUCCGAGUUAUAUAUAAAUCAGACCUGACUUGAAUGACCUGUUGGAUCAAAAAUUGUAGCCAUAGACUGAACUCGACCCGAUCCGAUCCGGUCUUUUAUUGGGUUGGGUAUUGGUCUAAAAUUAGAAUCCGAAUAAGAAACUGAGAUGAGUCGGGGUCCAACCCAACCCAUUUGCACCCCUAGCCAACCAGCAUCCCGUGCAAGCACUAAAUCCGGGGGUACCCAACCCAUGCAGUCCAAGAUUUGAUUCAAAGUAUCUAUGGCCAUGGGAAAAAAAAACAAAAAAAAAACAAGUGAUUGGCAUCCUCAUUAACCAACCCACACGCAGGACAUUGAAGCAAGACGGAGAGAUUGAAGCCAUAAUUUAGUUGGCAGAGGACCCCACACAAGCUUCCAUAUAAAUAAUCUAAACUCUUGCAGCUACUUAUAAGCUUCCAAAUGGCUUGCCACUCCUGAUCUGCACCUUGAACAUAGUUAAGGGCAAGAUGUUGAUCCAAGCUCGUCAGCCACAGUGCUGGGUAGCUGUAAUAGGUUUGUUUCGUACUAACUGAACCAUAUCUCCACAAAAAGGCUACUAAAGUAACGGUAUCUUCCAUGCCUCUCCACAGUGUCAAAAAUCAUUGCGCAAAGUAUUAGCAAAAGUAGGCAAACGGGACAUUACUUCAAAAAUUUAAGUCUAUAAUAGACAUUGGCCACAGUAACACUACAAUGGUAAAUCUUGGAUAUUUGCUGGGUAGAUCUUGAAUACUUAUAUAGGAUCAAGAAAUCCAAAUAAUACCUUCCGACUAGCCAUUUUAGAUGAGGUCUUGGAUUGUUACAAAGCCUCUGCCCAUUUCUAUGGGUCAAAGAAGCCAUAUGGUGUGAUGUAUUGCCGUUGCCCCCUUUGUUCAUGUAUUAUGAGUUGUGUCACAUAACGAAGCACCAUGAAUGGUGGGAGGUGGUUGAGUGACUUUCUUUCUUUUUUUUUAUUAUUUUUUUGUAUUUUUUAUUUUUAACUAGUUUGGUUCAUGCAAAGAAUUUUUUUUACUAAAAUAUCUUUUUUAUAAGAUAAUUUCUAAAAAUAUGAUGCUUAAAAAAUAAUUUUAAAAUAUUUGGUUGAUAUGAAAAAAUGGUACAUUCUAAAGUGGUUUAUAAUUUAUAUAUGGUUGAACAUCUACUUUUGUAAAAAGAUUGUAUAAAAUAUAUAAUAUAUUUUUAAUAAAAAAAUUUAUCAAUAAAUUUUGAUGGCUUAAAAAUAUUUUUUUGAAAAAAGAGACCUUAAUUUUUAACUGACGAGAAAAAAGUUUUUUCAUAUACAUGGUUGUUGUAAGCUACCUACCUCAAGCAGGUAUAAUUUUUAGUUAGAGCAGCUCAACCACUGACUUGGUGGGCCAGGCGGCGCAUGUAUUCCAAUAACCACUCCCUUCACAGAGAUUGUACACUGCUGGGACCCAUGGAAAAAAGAAAAUGGUAUUUUUUUAUUUUCUAAAAAAACUCUAAUUAAAUAAGAAGCAUUUUUUUUAUUUUUUGUUGACCUUUUUUUUUCCCGAACCAGAGGAGUCUUUUGUUAUUUUUUGCGAGCUACAAUCGCAUUAUUCCGGUCAUCAACAAAAAGAAAGACAACAUGGCAUGUGGACCCGCAAUUUGACGAGGUCAAUCAAUACUAGAUCUCGGAAUUAAGAGGAACCCGUGGUAUAGGCAACAAGGAAUCUAGGAUCAAAAUUUUGAAAGGUGAAUUUUUGAGUUAUUAAACAUUUGCAUGCUAGUUGUAGAUUUUGUUUCUGAAAAUUUGUCUUUAAAUUAGUUUCUAUUACAGUUUACUAUGAUAUUUGGUACUUAUCCGAACAUUCCUUUUUUUAUUAAUAUAUACAUGAUCCAAUCCAACCAAAAAUUUAGAGGCAACUUACUGGAUAUACUGUUAGCUUAUUCUUCUUUUUCUUGUCUUUUUAUCAGAUUGCAAAGUGUUGAUCGGAUGGGCAUGUGGGCGAGCACUAAAGGAUUAAGAUUUAGUUAGUUUCCAUCAUUUCAGUAAAUUUGUGUUGAAAAAUAUUGCAUAAUUUGGAAAUAAUGACUCUUUCUAAUUGAAGUUAACUUGAUUUAUGAAGUCAAUAAUGAUUCAAUUUUCUAGACGCUCUAUCUUAUAUAACUUCUUGCUUUGAUGCAUAUAUGUUUGUAAAGCGAGAAAUUCAGGCAAGUUUUAUAUAUUCUAUGGAUCAAUCCUACGAGAUGUUGAAUCGUGUAUUAUGUGCUCAACUCACGCUUGUAGGAUAGGUCUUGAUGUUAUCCCAAAGAUUUUUUUUUUUGAUUAUUCAAGAAAUAUUGGGAUAGAUUUUUUCAAUACAAGCGAGGCAUUUAAACUUGCUCAUAGCUGGCCGUUUACUUUCAUUCUAUCACAUUAUCCUCUUGUGAAAAAUAAAACAAGUACUUGAUGAUAUGCCUGGCCGUUGCGACCAACCUCCUUCUUCUUCCUCUUCUUCGGCGGGAAUGAGGAUUGACACCUCUCCAUCAUGGGGGCGGAGGUUUCUUCGGCAUUUUUUUUAAAAGAAAAACCUCUUAGGAACCAAAAUUAAAAUUAGUGAAGUCGUUGGACCGGACAUUUCAGUUUUGGUCAAAAGAGAUUUUUUGUUAUACUGAGGUCCAUGGUAGGGUGGGAAAAUAAUUACCCGUAUUUAUAAAUGGGUGAACAUGUAGAGGAGCCAGGGGACUUCCUAGUUGUUAGGGUACACUGACUUCUUCGACUUCUCUCCAUGUCUCUCUAAGGAGAGGCAACAUGCCAAAAUAAUGGUGGGUUGGCGAAUCCAAACAGGUCCACAAUUGGGUUGGCGAAUACAAAUUAGGAUAAACUACGGCAAGAUGAUCACGUUAGUUUCACUCGACGUGGGUUUCACUUAAAGUUUAUGUAGGACCUGGGAUAUAAAACCGGGUCAGGUUUAUGCUGUGCUCAUAGAUGCCGUUUAGCUUUCGUCAGAUAAAAACAUCAUGGAUUCUUUCAAAACAAUUUAAACAAGAUUACCACACAAAGAAAUCGUUCAAUCAAAUGAUAAGGUCUUGCAAAGUUGGGACAGAUACAUCCGGAAGUCGUGGGGGAUACAUCUCUUCGUUCACCAUGGCCACCAACCAACAACCACACCGUAAGCGUCCUCUCUCUCUCUCUCUCUCACUCACCAACUCAGCCUGUGUCUCACUCAUACAUAAUAAAAAAAGAAAAGACAAAGAGACAGCAGAAACUUCUUGGUUUCAGGUUUCUUUACAGCUCAAUAUCACGUUGGAUUCUCUCGACCAAAAACCCUAGCCGUACGUUUACCAAACACUGCAUGGCUUCAAGGAUUUGCAGCUCUCGAUCUCCUCCAACUCCGGACUGACUCCCCAUCCCAAAGACCCCUCUAUUUAAACCCCACACACCAUAUAUUAACUCAUAGGGUGAUCCGGAGGAGGACAGAAGCAAAUAAGUCAGCGAAAGAGAGACGGCAACCAUGCUUCCCAUCCUCCUCCUUUGUCUCCUCGUUUCCUCCUCUCACGCCGCAGACUUCUGCGUGGCGGAUCUAACCGGCCCAGAGACCCCCUCGGGCUACCAGUGCAAGAAAGAAUCUGCUGUCACCGCCGACGACUUCGUCAUCACCGGCCUCGGCGUGCCCGGCAACUUUUCCACCAUGUUUAAGGCAGCGCCGAAGACGGCCUUUGUCGCCCAGUUUCCUGGCCUCAAUGGGCUUGGCAUCUCAGCUGCCUACGUCUAUUAUGCCCCUGGGGGUUUUAUCCCCGUCCACAGCCACCCGGCCGGCACUGAACUCCUUGUGGUCACCGAGGGCACCCUCUUGGCAGGCUUUAUCUCCUCCGCCAAUAACCCCUACUAUAAAACCCUCAACAAGGGCGACGCCAUGGUCUUCCCCCAGGGGCUGCUGCACUUCCAAGUGAAUGUUGGUGAGACGACAGCGGUAGGCGUCGUGGGAUUCAGCAGCCCGAGCCCUGGGAUCCAAGUAACAUCGCCCGCGCUCUUUUCGAACAAUUUGCCAUCGGCAGUGGUCGAGAAGGUUACCUACCUUGAUGAUGCCGAAGUGAAGAAGCUCAAGAAGAUGCUCGGAGGGACCGGAUAAAUGAGAGAGCUCGCUGGCCGAGAGUCGAUUUAAUGGGUGCCGGGUUUCUUAAUUUGAGGGUGUUGUCUGUGUUAAGUGUUUGAUUUAGUCCUUAAUUUUGUUGUGGGCAUAUUGGUGGUGUAUGAAGUCCUGUUUCAGGUGUGGUCUUCUGUGGGCACCAAAUCUAAUUUUGAUGUAAUAAACACUAAUUGUUCAAUUUUUUCUGUUUUUUUUUUUUAAACUUAUUUAACAUGAUACCUAAAUACCUCAUAUAAAUCCCGUGCCAUAGAUAAAAAAAAAAAUGAAUAUGCAUUUAAAAGUUGGAGAUUACAGUUGGGUGUGGAACAAAAAUGGAACCGUUCAGCAAUAUCAUCAACAUUCCGUUCUUCAAAAUGGAAAAAUAAUUCUUAUCGGCGAAUGCUAAUUAGGAUUGUCCUAAAGACUUAUCAAUUUAACAUUUAUUACUUAUCAAAUUUGUAGAAAUAUCACUUAGAAAAAAUUGUACACUAUUCAGGCUCUUCUAGAGGAAUGUCUCGUACAAUUAAUAUGUCAUAUGGCAUGGUUUACAAUUGGUAAUUAGGAAAAAACGUGUGAAGGUUAUAUCAUGGACACAAUAUUGAAGGUUCUUAUAAAAAUAGUAAGAGAUCAAUAGGACCAGUUGUUUGACAUUUCAUAUAUACUUUUUGAAAUGAUUUAGAAAUAAUGCAUGAAUAUUUCUUAAAAUUCAAGAAUUAUAUACAAACUUAAUUCAAGAACUUGUCAGUUAUCAUCAUGUUACACUUAAGGAUAUCAAACAUUCGCUGGACAUAUGCAUAAAAUCCUCCGAAUGCCAUUGAUUCUUUAUCGAAAACCUCAUGUAGGCUAUGAUAGAUCUACAAGUGGGUAGGUCCAACUAAAGUUAUAGCAAUUAUAAUACCCACUAGGUGGGUAACUUAAGAGGGUGCCGUAAUAAUGAAUGAAUAUAUGCAUGGAGUAUUCUAGUUCGUCUUGUGCCAAUGGCCCCAUUCUUCUUGGUAUAAUGUCCAUCUCAUGCAGUUGCGGAGUCUUUUUCUUGGGUAAGCUAUAUGGCCAAGUGGUUCAUCCAUCAUGCUCACUUGAUACUUGACCCGUCUUCUUUUGAUCUUUUUGUUUUUUCUCUUUGUUGGAAAUCAUACUUUUAUGCAGGAUGAAAAAGAAAGGUUGAUCAUCUUUUGUCAAACUAGUCUGCUUUGUAGCCCUCUCCAUUAUUUUAUUCAAGAUCUGCACUUAUUCAUAGAAAAAAAUUUCUUGUGGAGGUGGUUUGUCAACCUUUUAGAAACGGAGGGCUAGGAAUUCACUCCUUGCUUGUGAGGUGAGAGCUCUUUGUUGCUGGAUACCUUCUUGAGACUAAGAAUUUCUAGAGUACCUUGAUGAGGGCCAAACACGACACGCGGACCUCAGCACUUGGUUUUCAGACUGGACAAUAUAGUUCAUUCAUCUGGAGAGAGAUCUAUGCCCACGCCCUGGUGGUGCUCCCUAGGAUCAGAUGGUCUAUGGGAGAUGGUCAUUCUAUUGAUAUGAUGGAUGAUAGAUGGCUGACGGAGCAGCUGCUUGGUCUGUGGCCUACCAUGAUCAAUCUAGAGAACUCGGCCGGCCGCAGAGUUUGUGACUUAUUCAUCUCGGGGGCGAGGAGAUGGGAUGAGGACGCCAUAUGGCGAGCCUUUAGAGUGUAGUUGGUAGAGAGAUUUCUGGCUCUAUCAAUUUCCACUAGAGGGGAGCGUAGACAGGAGGGUCUAGAGAGUGACCGGCAAGUCGAACGUCAGUACUCAAGACCUCUAUGACUUGGUUAGUGUCAAGGUGACUCGGCGGAUUGAGUGAGGCUGGAUUUGGAGGCUUCACAUUCACCCUUACAUUGCUUUAUUCAUUUGAAAGCUAGCAUGGGGUUGCUUACCGACCAUGAGUGUGCUAGCCAAACAAAGGUUGAGAAUAAGUACNNNNNNNNNNNNNNNNNNNNCAAGUACUGAAUGUGAUGAAUGCCCAGAUUUUGAGGUGUCUAUCGCCCAUGUCCUGUUUGGUUGUUCAUGGGCGAUUCAAGUUUAGAGGGGGCUCGAGUUGCCUCAAGAUUUUUGCAGUCCAUGUCCUCGGUUGAAGACUUUCUUGGCUACCUGAAGGAUUCUAUGAGGAGCACCACUACUGUAACUUGGGGUAUCAUGGGUGCUUAUAUGGCCUACUACAUUUGGCUAGAUAGAAACGCCCGCAUCUUUGAAAAUAGAAGAAUACAUCCGAGGAAUGUGGUGGACGGGACACUUCCACAUGCUACUAAAAUUACUCAAUCUACUGCUUUUCUUUCAUCUGGGACGGUUAGGGAUAUCUGGGACUCCCAUCCAACUUUUAUAGUGACCCAAAUGGUUUUCAUCUCCUAGGAGUCUCCAACUUCGAGUUUUCUUAAGGUGAACUUCGACGGCAGCAUGAUUGAUGGCAGUAUCAGAGGAGGGUCGAUUUUGUGAUUAGGGGUUAUGAUUCUAGACAAAUUGCUAUGAGGGUCGAUGCAUUUUGACACAUCUGUCCCCAAAGCAGAGUUGAGAGCUUCUUGGGAAGGCCUUACCUAUGUGAGGCUCGUCUUGGGAGGAGACAACAUCUACCUUGAAGCUGAUUUCGUCAUGGUAAUCGAGUGGAUUAAGGAUCAGCACAGGAUUGGUGAUGGAUAUUUGCUGCUACUGGACAUCCACAGGCUGAUGAAGGGUUGUGGUGCAUUUCGGGUUACUCAUGUCUACUGGAAGACAAAUAGGGCUGCCGACCAGGUCGCCUCCUUCGUUGCUCAGCAUUCGAAUAAGGUCCUCUAGGAGAACCACGAGGCUGCCUCUCCUUCUCUACAACAACUUGUUUUUUGUUUUGACUUUUCCUAUUCACUCCGACAUCUGGACCUAUGACACCUCCAGUUUAAACGAGCACUUGGGUUAAUUCUAUCUUCUAGAUAUGCUUAAAGCCUCUCCACGAAUUGGAUUCCUACGCUCGGAUAACGAACAAACUAAGCUAUGUUUCCAUGCAUGGGCCCGGCAUUGCAUGGGCUCUUAGUAGAUCACGUAUCGUAUCCAUGCGCGUCCACAUUUAUUGGAAUGAUCCACGAAAAAAGAGUAUCGUGGAAUGUGGACUCUAAGUUUCCUCUUUCCCAUCUUCCUUUUCUUUUAGGUUUCAUAUAUAUGUUAUUAUAAUGAUGAAAUUUCUUUGAUUGUCCGCGUAAUGUGGGGAUUUUUUUUUUUUUUUGAAUAUACGCAAGGCAUUCAAACUUGUAUGAGUUAGAUGUCCUCUACUUUCAUUCCGUCACAUCCUUCUCUUGCCAAAACCAAGAUCUUGCAAUCUUUGGUUUAAAGUCGGAGAGAGGCAUAGAAGAGUACCGAGGGACUACCUAGUUGUUAGGGCUCAUUGACUCUUAUGUGUCUUUCUAGAGAGAGAUUUCCACGUAGAUCAUGAUAUCAAAGUAAUGUUGGGUUGUACACCAAAAAAAAAAAAGUAAUGUUGGGUUCGUCCAACCAAAUUGGCCUAGAAUUUGAUGUUGAAAUCAUCNNNNNNNNNNNNNNNNNNNNNNNNNNNNNNNNNNNNNNNNNNNNNNNNNNNNNNNNNNNNNNNNNNNNNNNNNNNNNNNNNNNNNNNNNNNNNNNNNNNNNNNNNNNNNNNNNNNNNNNNNNNNNNNNNNNNNNNNNNNNNNNNNNGACAUGGUUCAAACUCAGAACCUCUGCUCUGAUACCAUGUUGAAAUCACCACUUAUCUUAAAAGCUUAAGCUAAUAGGAUGAGAUAGAUCUAUUUAUAUAUAUUUAAUAUUUUCUUACAGUAUAUACAUAUAAAUAUAUAUAUAUAUAUAUAUUAUCUGGUAUUGCUAAUUGAUUGUUUUCUUAUUACUUAUAGUGUACCGUUUCAAGAUUCUUACUAGGUUGGAAAAGCUCAUAUUCUUUGCAUUUUUUUUAGAGUCACAGGAGGCAUAGUUUCGAAUGAGAGGGACAUGGAGUUGAUGUUGCUAGAAGUUAGUUAGCUAGUUAUCUCUUUUAUUUUGCUGAUAUCGAUGGACAUCGAAAACUUUGUAAUUAAACUAGUUGAUGAUUUAAUGUUAGUGGUAUUAUUGGAUUGAUUUAAUUAUAAUUGUUGGUAUUUUGUAGAUAUUGUUCAUCCCAUGCCUAGCAUAUUCUCUAGGGCAUUGUCUUAUGGAGUGUGCGGCCGUGUUAUGUGGUCGGACCUAAGUGUUGGGUUUGGGGUAUGACGGAAGUGGUACUAGAGCUUAAGGUUUAGGAUUAUAGGAUUUAAGUAUGCGGGUAGACAUCUAUGGAAAAUUAAAAAUCACUGUUAUGAAUAGGAGGCAUAUUUGUGAUGUUGAAGUCAUUUAGACUAAAGUAAUAUGUAGAAGUUGAUAAUGACAUUGUAGGAUUAUAUGGCACGAGGGUGUGGACGUAUGUUUGCUAGGAGGCCUACACAAUUUUAGGUUAGUGAUUAUGUUUUGUUGAAGGUAUCUCCCACUAAGGGUGUGAUGAGGUUUGGGGUUUGCGGUAAAUUAAGCUUUAGGUAUGUUAGUCCAUUUGAAAUCUUAGACAGGGUCAGAGAAGUGGCAUAUCAAUUGGCAUUACCACCGGCUCUAUCAGAUGUGCAUAAUGUAUUCCAUAUUUCGAUGCGGAAGAAAUAUGUUUUAGACCUGAAUCAUGUGGUAGCAUGAGCCAUUGUCUCUUCAUGAGAAUUUAACCUACAAAGAGUUUCCAAUACGAAUUGUAGACAAAAAGAAUCAGAUAUUAUGACAUCGAACGAUUCCUUUUGUGAAAGUAUAAUGUAAUAAUCAUUCAGAAAGAGAGGCUACUUGGGAGCUCAAAGAUGAGAUGAUCGUCAAACAUCCACAACUUUUGAAACUUCAUGUAUAUUAAUUUCGGAGACGAUAUUAUUUUAAGGGGAGAGAAUUAGCGGCCCAUAGGCUUGUGGGCCGGCCCAAAGGGGGCAAGCUAAACUCCUCACGUGUAGCGGACGUGAGGGAAGCGAGGAAGAAGACUCCGACUCCUCCCCGAUCAUGAUUAUGCCAAAAAAAUUGGAGUUUCAAGGCGAUUCCAAGACCAAAUCCUAGCCGGAGUCUUCUUCCUCCCCGAUCAUGAUUAUGCCAAAAAAAUUGGAGUUUCAAGGUGAUUCAAAGACCAUAUCUUGCCUAGUUAUGACCACUCAUCCUUCUCUUUUGAGAUCCAUCAAAGAAUAGGCAAGAUUUCACCACUGUUCCCAAGCUCUUUCUGAGUUUCUUCCUCCGAUUUUUGCUGGUAAGAGUCACCAGAUUUUCGUUGGAUUGAGGUAGGAUCCCUUCUCUUCUUUCGAUCUUCUUGCCAUAUUUUGCCAUGAUUUGAGCGAGUGAAUCGCCGAGAAAUCAUCCAAAAUAGAGGUGUCCUAUUUCAGUGCUCUUUUCCGAGUUUUGCCAUCACUAGCCACCGAGUUUGGCCGAGGUUGUGGCCAUCAUCGGGUGAGCAGCCGGCCAUCGCAAUUGCCACCUUUUACUUGCAGGGGGGAAAGUAGAAAGGAGAAGGAGAAGAUGAACUUCUCCAUUCAUGAAAAGAGAAGAGAGUUUUCUCUCUCUUUUUCCCUCUUCUCUCUUUUCUCAUUCUUUUUCUGCUCUCUAUUUCUCUCUAGUUUCUCUCUCUUCUUUCUUCCUAUUUUCUCUCUCUCUUGGUGUCUCUCUCUAGUUGAUGGAGGUAAGUGGUAGAAGGGACUCAGGGGACCUAGUGAUGGAUCCCUAGUAGAUGCCGGUAGGCGGUCUAGGUUACUAGUCCACUGUUUGAUUUUUUUUUGAUAAUCAAGUUUGAUUCUAUAGAGAAAGAGUCAUCUGUGCAAGAGGAUUUUGAUCGGAGUAUUUUGCACUCCAGCUCGUAGACCAUAAAGUGGGUCAGUCUUUGUUGUAUUUAAUCAGUCUUUGAUAGAAAUAAGAAAUAACAAAAUAUAGUUUCAACUAACCUCGUCAUGCGAUAGCUUCUACGAGUUUAUCCAUGGGAGCUGCUGCUUCCCCAGUGCCUUGUUCUGCUACCUGAGGUCUCAGCAAUCCCUUGACAUCCCUCUCCUCCCGGAGCUUCUUCAUCGGAGGAGUCAGUGUCGCUUCCGAAGGCGUCCAUGGGCUUAUGCAUGAGAUAGCCUCCACGAGCUUAUGCGCGGGAUAGCCUUUACGAGCUUACGCAUGGGAUAGCCUCUAUGAACUUAUGCGUAGGAUAGCCUCUAUGAACUUAUGCGUAGGAUAGCCUCUACACGCUUAUGCAUAAAAUAGCCUCCAUGGGCUUAUGCGUGGGAUUUUAUCAGUCUUGGAAUGGGUCAUGAUCUUGGUUAGUCUAAAGUCAGAACAUAAUUGAUAAGGAAUAUGGAAAUCAAGUUAAUGAGAAACAGAUAAUAUGAUUUUAAGAAAUUAUUGUUGAACAAUUAGUUUCAUUUGAGAUAUAUGUAUAUAUAUACAUAUAUUUCUAUGAUAAGAUUAUGAUGUGCAUAUUAUUCGUAAGAGCUUUUCGAGUAUUGAUACGAUAUUUAUUUUAUCUGGUAUUGCUAAUUGAUUAUUUUUUAUUACUUAGAGUGUAGCGGUUCGGAAUUCCUAUGAGGCUGGAAAAGCUCAUAUUCUUCUUUGCAUUUUUUUUUUCCAGAGUCACAGAAGGUGUAGUUUCAAAUGGGAGGGACGUGGAGUUGGUGUUGCUAGUAGUUAGGUAGCUAGUUAUCUCUUUUAUUUUGCUGAUACCGAUGGACAUGAGAACUUUUGUAAUUGAAUUAGUUGAUGAUUUAAUGUUAGUGAUAUUAUUAGAUUGAGUUAAUUAUAAUUGUUUGUAAUAUAUGGAUAUUGUUCAUCAGGUCUAGCAUAUUCUUUAGGGCACUAGCCUAGGGAAUGUGCAGCUGUGCUAUGUGGCCGGACUCGGAUGUUGGAUUCGGGGCUGUGACAUAGGGCCCCUCCCUCCUCUUCUUCUUCUUCGUCACGUCUUUCUUCCACGUCAAUUUUUUUUGCCAUCUCUUCAUCAUCCUCGAGAGAAGUCAUCCAAAGUGAGUUUAGAUCGUUUCCCUAGCUCGUAAUCCGUCUGCUCUUGGUCGUUUACUUGAUCCAACCACGAAGGAAAACCCUGUUUUUUCCUCUCCCUAACACCUUAUCUGAAUUGAGAAAAAUGAAUAAAGAAGAAAGAGAGGAGAGAGAGCAAGAGUUCCCUCAGUGGUUAAGAGAGAAGAGAGUCUCUCUUUUGGUUAGAAACUAUAGUACGUAAGAAAGUAAGAUGAAGAGAGUUAAAAUCCGUCAUUUGCAUUAAAAAAGUGAGAAGAAACGUACCUUUAGUAUGUUUUCAGUAACCAAUCCAUGCACAUCCGGUAUCCAAAUCCAUCGGGCAGCAGCUCCCAUACGAGAUGAAAAAUAUCUCUAGUAUAUCUUUUCGGUUCCAAACAUCUGCAGUAGAGCCACGGCAUCUCAUGUUCCCUGCAUUAUCAAAUGAGAUAUAUAGUUUCAAAUUAAUAAUCCAUAUCGACAUGCAAAUUGUAAAAAGUGGGCUUUAGGCAGUGGGAAUUAUUGAUGCCCAUGGAUAGAAUAGAGUAUCUGUAUCCAGUAUCCUCUCCACUGCGAGGACUCUAUAUAGAGUCCAUUCUUUACAAGGAGAGACACCCCUCGCCCCUCGGUCUACCAUCCUGCAGAGGAAGCAAAGAACCAUAUCUCUAUAACAACAGUUGUACCCAAGGCUUGUUUUGCUGUUGCAAGACAUCUAUAACAAGCUUGAACAAAUACCUGGAUAACUGCAAAACGGUAUUAGACAUAGAAGUAGCAGAAAGCCAAUAAUUGAAAUAGUAUUGAGAAUAGGAUUAACAAGAGUAAUAGGGCCCGCUGAAGAAAGAUUGUCCCACUUUCAAUCAAAUGCUGCUACCGUGCCAUAGGCUUCCUCUUGCCUGCAAUAAGAGACCCAAGUAGUUGGAAGGAAACGCACCCAAUAGUAUUUUGUAUGGAUGGUAAUGUGGAGUGGACAACCAGCUCGAAAUUAUUUGCAUCUGAUCGUUCUUGCACCUGAUGCUCUAAGUCCGUUUUGUCAGCUUUCAGCUGAGACCGUGAUUCACAUGCUCUAUGGAAGUAGACGUGCAAGUUUGCUUUGGCAGGGAACUUUGCCUAUGCAGUACCUUUUUUUCAGCGACUUGCAGGUCUAUUUAGUUCUACAUUGGCUAUAUUUUAGAUAGAUCUUUUGUAAUUAUAUAGAGCCAAAGAAUUUAAAUAAUAUUUUCUAACUAGUUUUUAAGGGACAUUCUAGGUUGCGGUAUGGCUACUGUCUUUCUUCUGCUGAUCCACAUCUGAUGACAGAAAAAGUAUAGCCAAAACUAAAAGGUGUUUACUGAAGGAGCUAUUUUGAAGGCCAAGGUUUUAUGGCAGGAUUCUCAACAGUAGAUUGGGGUUUAUGGGGUGGCGUGUUUGUCUUUUGGUGGCUUUAUGUUCUCCUUGCUGGUUCUACAAAAUCACUCCAAAAUAUUUCAGGAGCAUCUUUGGUUGCUUCAACCUCAACUCCAACAUUGCAUUUCAAUAUAUGCUACGACCCUGUCAACCUUUAUUUUGGCCAUUUUGCAAUCAGGAUUGAGACUGAAUCAUCUCCUCGGCUGGGUUGAAAAUGAGAGACCCACUCAUGCAAUCACAACCGCGCAUCAUUAUAAUCACAUAAUAAUCCAUAAUUGCAUGAGCUCUACAUUAUAUCACACACGUAUUGCAUUAUCCCAUGCACCGCAGAGGAUUCAUGUAAUUAAAACCAUCGCACCAUACACAAAUCAUCUCAAUUUAGGACGAACAACCUACCAUCUACAACACCAGACACUACUUGUUAUUGAAGCUUUUUUUUCCAGAAAUUUUUGCAUAUAUAUAUAUAUAUAUAUAUAUAUAUAUCUUUACAAAUUUAUUACUUACAUGCAUAUCUUUAUAAAUUAUUUUUAAAUAACUAAUGAGGAUAUAAAUAUAAAUAGUAAAUUUGAGAAGAUAUUCAUAUAAUUUUAGAUAUUUAUAAAAAUAUACGCAAAAAAAAAUCUUAUAUUGUACGACAUUCUAAGGUGCAGACAUUUGGUGUUUUUUUUAAGAGGAUGUUGCUAUCAUAGCAAUGAUAGAUUUUGCUGUUAAUGAUAUUUGUUUAUAUAUCUCGCAUGACAAGUCGAUUAAUAUUUAACGCAUCAACUCAUAUUUACUAUAAACAGGACAUCAAGGCCAUGGCCCACAAGAAUGGCUCAACCUGACUCUCCAUGCGUUAUUAUAGUAAGUUGUUGCCACGCUGGCAAACAGGAGUUGGCAAGAUGUUGGAUGGCUAAAAGCUUCCGCUCCAUUGCCAGACUGUCUCCUACCUCCUCUCCUCCUUUCCCUCCCCUUCUCUCUCGUCAACAACAAAUCCAGAGAGAACGAAGCAGCGAUCAGAAAAUCCAACAACCCCCAAACGUCUGAUCCAGAAGAGUAGGAGAAGGAGAAACAGAGGAAAAUUCUAUCUAAUAUUAGCAGUUAUCUUCUUUCAAAAAUGAGUCUUUUCGGCCUCGGAAACAGGUCCAUUUCACCAUCCUUCUUCCUUUCUUUCGUACUUUUUAAUCUCUUGGAGAUUCCAGUCAUGUAGGGCUUGACCAUGGUGUGCUCUGGGGUUUCUUCCAAUUCUUUUAGAUUUCUUUUGCAAAUUUUGGCGCUUGUAUUAAGAGAUUUGAUGAAAUGAAGCCUUUGUAAAUGUAUAGCAGAUCGAGAAGCUGAGUUUCUUAUCUGUGAAUAAAAUGGCGGUGGUUUUGUUUGUGUUGUUAGAUUUUUAUGCCAUUAUUUUGAUUCCUUCGUAAAAAGUUCAUGGAUUAAUGUAUUGGCUUGUGUGAACAGGAACCAGAAGACAUUUCGGCCCAAAAAGAAUGCUCCAUCUGGAAACAAGGUAAGGACUUUUUCUUGACAAUUGUGGGAUUAAGACUCUCAAGUUUAGAGCUUGCAAUCAAGGCCAUAGUUUUAUAGAUUAUUGAUAUUUCAGUACUUCUUAGAAUGUUUCUUUCAUGGAUAAUUAUGUGAUGAGGGCAGAGCUGGCGGGAUUUAAUAAUCUCUAUGGAUAAUCAUGGCAGGAAUCUACUCGUUUUCUUGUAUUAUAUGAAAAUGCUUAUCGAAAAUGUUGGAUUGUAGGUUGUAUGUCUAUGCUGCGUAAUUGUGUCUUGAGUGCAGAAUCAGUGGCUUGAUGGAUUACCUCUUGAAUUAUUUUAUUUAUUAGUCAAUGUUCAUGUCUUAAUCAGAAGGCCUAGUCAACUUUUAGUCGCCAAUUAACUAUGGUUAUUUUAUCACUGGCCCAUAUUCUUGUUACUAUUUUCUUUUUCUGUCGAUUUAUGUAAUCAAGCAUUGGAAAAUACUGAUGUGCUUUGACUGGUCUGUACUUGUACCUAACUGUUAAAAGAUCUUAUGCAUUAAUCAUUACAAUUCCUCAUGGACUAUACCAAGUGUAUCUCAGUGUCAGUACUAUUUUGUUACUAGCCUUAGUACAACACAUGCAAUCAACAUUAUAACCCUUGUUUUAGAUAUAGUUAGAAAAAAAACUUUUUGUAUGUUACUUUCCUAUUUUUCUGAUUUUUUAUUCUGUCAACAAAUACCUCCAACAUUUUAUUAUUCCUCUGUUUCCUUUUUUUCUUUUAAGUUCGGUCGGUACCCUCAAAUUUCCAUUAUGAUAUACUAACUCAUGUAUUCAGCAAAUGAACAGCUCCCUAGCGCUGCCCAAAGGCAUGAACUUAUAAUUUGUGAGUUUUUUUUAAUAUAGUUUGGCUUGUUUUUUAGUUUGGUUCUUUGAUUUGUGUUUUUUUGGGCUCGAGAUGAAUAUUCAUACGUUGCUUUAUUCAUCUAUACUCUUUCCAAGUGUAGGGUAAUCUUGGAAGAUUUCUCCUUGGUUCCUUGAGUGACCAAAAGAUGUCUUCCUACCGACCAGNNNNNNNNNNNNNNNNNNNNNNNNNNNNNNNNNNNNNNNNNNNNNNNNNNNNNNNNNNNNNNNNNNNNNNNNNNNNNNNNNNNNNNNNNNNNNNNNNNNNNNNNNNNNNNNNNNNNNNNNNNNNNNNNNNNNNNNNNNNNNNNNNNNNNNNNNNNNNNNNNNNNNNNNNNNNNNNNNNNNNNNNNNNNNNNNNNNNNNNNNNNNNNNNNNNNNNNNNNNNNNNNNNNNNNNNNNNNNNNNNNNNNNNNNNNNNNNNNNNNNNNNNNNNNNNNNNNNNNNNNNNNNNNNNNNNNNNNNNNNNNNNNNNNNNNNNNNNNNNNNNNNNNNNNNNNNNNNNNNNNNNNNNNNNNNNNNNNNNNNNNNNNNNNNNNNNNNNNNNNNNNNNNNNNNNNNNNNNNNNNNNNNNNNNNNNNNNNNNNNNNNNNNNNNNNNNNNNNNNNNNNNNNNNNNNNNNNNNNNNNNNNNNNNNNNNNNNNNNNNNNNNNNNNNNNNNNNNNNNNNNNNNNNNNNNNNNNNNNNNNNNNNNNNNNNNNNNNNNNNNNNNNNNNNNNNNNNNNNNNNNNNNNNNNNNNNNNNNNNNNNNNNNNNNNNNNNNNNNNNNNNNNNNNNNNNNNNNNNNNNNNNNNNNNNNNNNNNNNNNNNNNNNNNNNNNNNNNNNNNNNNNNNNNNNNNNNNNNNNNNNNNNNNNNNNNNNNNNNNNNNNNNNNNNNNNNNNNNNNNNNNNNNNNNNNNNNNNNNNNNNNNNNNNNNNNNNNNNNNNNNNNNNNNNNNNNNNNNNNNNNNNNNNNNNNNNNNNNNNNNNNNNNNNNNNNNNNNNNNNNNNNNNNNNNNNNNNNNNNNNUUUUUCUAUACCCCUCCCAAAAAUGUGAUGCUUAUUUGCCAGAUUUCUAAUGUUAUAUUGAAUUGCAAUAAAGUCAGUAAUAUUUUGCUGCUCAUGAUUUGAAUAAUUUAUAACUAGCCGGAUUUCUUACUUUCUGCCUUUGGAUCUAGAACUAUUGAAAGCCAUUCUCCUUCAUUAAUUUGUAUAUACCUUUUUGACCAUUUGCUCCUAGUUAUUCCAAAUUUCUUCAUUUUCAUCAUCAUUUAUAAUUUUGGAUCUCCAUUUUUUUAUUCAUCAUACUUGAUAUGGUCCCUCUAACAUAGUAUUCAAACAUGCUUGUAAGUUGUCAUUUUGAAAAGUGAAAAUUUUCAUUUAAUGGAACAAAAUUUUGACACUUUUUAUAGAUUUUCCACUCUCCUCUCUCAAUUCUUAUUCUAUAAGAUAUAUAGACUAAAUUUGAAACAUUUUCAUUAAAUAUUGAUACCUUUCUAUAUCUUUCCUUGGUCAACCUUUUUUUGUUGAUGUCUCUAUGAAUAUUUUAUUUCCUGUGUGUGGCAUUCUAGCACAUCUUAUACUGCACAACAGUACAAAGCAUUAACUCAAUGUGAUAACUUCUCUAUUGCACUAAAUUUAGCCUCAACAGCAUUUUGGGCAAGGUUUGAUGUCCUGCUGAAACAGGACAGUGCUAUCGUUAUAGUACCAUUCCAAUGGGAAAAUAGGACCAGGACAGCCUAUGAGACACUAGUCCUAUAUCGAAUUGGGACUUCUCACCCAUCUCAGCCUAACUAGCUCUUUCAAGGCUUGGCUAGGCUGGUAAACAUGCAACCCCACCAGGUCACCUAAUUCUGAAAAGAAAAAGAGAGUAGCGGGGACCUAAACUUUCUUUCCUUUUCUUAGUCACAGACAUACUGUGGUUAGAGACCAAGAAAAGAAGAAGGAAAGAGAGGGGUGAAGAGACAGAGGAAGUGAUGUCUCACAAAUAUCUGUUGAUAAUGUGUCAAAUAUUGUUAUACCAAUACCUGCUCCAUACACCUCAUCAUUGUCACAAAAAGCACUUAAACAUGUUAAAAAUUACUAUGAAUCUAUUUAAGAUAAAAAAAAACUUUAAAUUUUAAAAAUAUAGAGAAAUGUCCCAGUACCUAGAUUAGGACCAUCUCAAAAAUAGGGAUGGUACCAUCCCAGUAAUGUACUAUCCCAAUGAAAUACUGUGGGUAUUUAAACCUUGCUUUGGGGUCUUUAUUUUAAUUGUCUAUUACUAGUGUGUUGCUAGUCAUGUCUUGAAGCAAUUUAUUUUUAUAUUAUUUGUCUAUGAAUCUGAACAUUGUUAUGAAUACUGCCUAUGCACCUCUUUCAGUAAAAAAAAAUGAGCGUGAGAGAGAGAGAAAGAAAGAAAGAAAAUAAAAGAAAAGAAAUAACUGCCUACACUAACAUUCUUCAUGUCAAACACUUGCGAUCCAUUCUUCACCAUCCACACAUUACCAAAUUCACCAGGAUCAUAGUUAUACUGUUUUGGAAGGUAAGCUGUGUCCAAAAAUGGGAUGGCAUAUUUCAGUUUGAUGGUUAAUUGAAAAAAAUUCUAGUGACACAAUAUGAAACACUUACACAUCUCAAGUAAGAUCUUUGUCUCCCCUGUCCUUAAAAUAAUUUUUUUUUGAUGCUGCAUAUAUUUAUUUGUGUGAGCUGUUUAGUUUCGUAACAUAAGCAUUUGAACAAAUUGUAGUUUGAUGCAGUUCACAAUACACUCAACUCUGGGUCACUGAAAUCCACAAAAUUUGCCAAGCAUGAUUUCUUAUACUCAUUUUUCGUUGUUAUCAAACAGGGGGCGCAGCUGAAAAGACACAUUGAUGCUACAUUAGGUAGUGGGAACCUAAGGGAGGCUGUACGAUUACCACCUGGGGAGGACCUUAAUGAAUGGCUUGCUGUCAAUAGUAUAGCUCUAACACUCUGAGUAUUUCCAUGUAGAACUACUAUGGUGGUGAUAUAUAGAAUAGGACAUUAUCAUAUCUCUAUGCUUGCUUAUAUGUCAUUUUUUUCCAUCAUUGACGGGCAACUCAGUCCACCUGAAAAACUUUUCCCCUGGAUUACUGGAUCUUAACAUUUGUUAUUUUAAUUCCGUACUUCAUUUUUUCCUCUGCAGCUGUUGACUUCUUCAAUCAGGUUAAUAUUUUGUAUGGCACUCUCAUAGAAUUUUGCACACCAACCAGCUGCCCAACAAUGUCAGCAGGAGCAAAGUAUUAUUCUAUCACUAGUGGUCAAUCCUAUUUGGAUUUAUUUUAAUAAAUGCAUAUGAGUGCAAUUUCUAAUCUUUUUCUGUCAGUAAAAAUAGUUGAAUGAAGCAUUGUUUCUCUAGGAUAUGCUCUAAUGGGGGAUGAAAUUCUACAGGUUUGAGUAUAGGUGGGCCGAUGGAGUUCAAAUUAAAAAGCCUAUCGAGGUUUCUGCGCCAAAAUAUGUAGAUUAUUUGAUGGACUGGAUCGAAUCGCAGCUUGAUGAUGAAAACAUAUUUCCGCAAAAACUUGGUACUUAUAUGUCCAUGAGAUAGAUAUAAUGCUCAACGAUAUAAUGGUUUGUGCCCCUUGAAUUUUAUCAGUUCUGACUUAGUGAUAUCUACUUCAGGGGUGCCAUUUCCUCCGAAUUUUCAUGAUGUUGUCAAAACGAUAUUCAAACGUCUGUUUCGGGUGUAUGCUCAUAUUUAUCAUUCACAUUUUCAAAAAAUUGUGAGUCUGAAGGAAGAAGCUCAUCUCAAUACUUGCUUCAAGCACUUCAUUUUAUUUAUAUGGGUAAAUAUCUAUCCUUGAUGUAAGCAAGCAGUAUUUUAUUCUGGUGUUUAGCAGACUAUCUAGCUGGCUACUCUUUCCUCUUGCCUUUUUUUACAUGACAUAACUGACUCUUCCUGAAGAUCUUUGUUGCAAUUUAUCUGCCAUAUCUUAGAUGAUUUAUGCCCUGCAUCUUGGACUAGAACUAUAAAAUAAUAUUAUCCUGAGUCCUUAUCAAGAAUAAAUUGUUACUGAAGAUAAAAAUCAGUUAUGUCUGUAACUUCAUUGCACAAUGAUUCCAUAUAUUUUUAGUUAGUAGUUGAUAUUACUGUUUCCUCAGUAUUUAUUCCCUCUAUAAAAAUUCAUGGUUGCUAGAAGAAUGUCAAAGCUUCUUAACAUGGCAACAGUUCAGCUCUCAGGUUACAACAUGUCCAGCUCCAAUUUUUGGUCCAUGCAAAGGAAGUGUAUGGAAGUGCUUUGUGUUAUACAAGUUUUUUUUUUUUUUUAAAUUUCUGGAAAAUACAGAAGAGGCUUCGCCAUGUGGUUUUGACAUGUACAAAAAUUCAACAAAAUUACACACUUUCUCCUCUAAAGGAGAUACUUAUAGUGAGAUGCCAAUAUCCAAUGUUUGUGAGACUCCAUCAAAGAUUUGACUGCUAGCUAGUAAAUCAUUGAUUUUCGAGUCCAGAUUGCAUCGAGAUUCUAAAUUAUCUUCUCGUUAUAUUUUUCAACAUUUUAUGCAAUAAUAUGGUUUGAAAUAAUUAGAAAUGUAAGACCCAUUUGUUGCAUAGGGUGUCACGGGUUUCAAACGAAGAAAAUGUCUAUCCGUGCAUGGGGAUAAAGCUGUAUACAUCUAACCCUCCCAAACCUAUAAUGGUGGGAGCCUCGCGCAUUGGAAUGCUCCUCUCUUAGACAUAUAAGAUCCAUAAUAAUUUUAGAUAUCUCAACCGAUGUCCUUCAUACCUUGUAUUGUAAAUAUUCUUUUUUUCCCAUAUCAAGGUGAGUUUCUUCUUGUGGUGGGAGAUGUAGAUUAGAAUUUGCAAUGAAGUGUACAUCACAAUGUCAUUUGCAAGACAAUUUUUGGUACUGGCAAUGAUCUUCUGGCCAAUUAGGGGUCAUUACUUGGUGCAGUGGUAAAAGGCUUGGGCUGACAAGCAUGAUUCGACUCUUGGGGCAGCCACUUUGUUGAAAAAAAGUCAAAGGUUUGAUCUAACACCCGGAACACCCCUCCUAGGGCAUAAAUUGUUGGGACCAUAAGUGGGUUGGCCUUUUUAAUGAUCUUUCUGGCCAAUAGUUGUUAGCUCAGUUGGUUGGCACCCCUCUCUUAAGGGCUUGACAUUAGGGGAGGACCAAUAUUCAAGAGUUGGGAUCCUCUCAAGUUCAUGGCUGGAUCAAAUAGAUCCAAUCUUACCAUCAGUGCCAUCCAUGUAUUGCAUGAUGGCCUGUGAUGGGGCAGCGCCGGUUUAAUGCAUGGGGCAGACUGGAGAGGAUCCAAACUGAAGGUUCAAACCUUGGUGGUGGUACAUUAUCACUGUAUUGCUCGAAAAAAAGGAGCAACGAUCAUUAUGCUACAUUUCUUAGAUAGACCACCUCUAUAAAAUUAAUCAGCUGACAUUGGUUGAGAUCGAUUUUCGCCUGGAAAUUAGGAUCUGCAUCUCUUCAUUUUUGCAUCACCAUUUGUGAGGUAAUUACUAAAGGAAUAAAUGCAUCUAUGUCACAAUCAUAUUCUUGUGCGUACUUCUUUUAUUUAUGAAAGGAAGAGAGUUUGCAAUGACAUCAGAAUUUAUGCAGAAAUAGUUACCAUUUGUGUCCCUUCUUUGAAGGAGAACCAAUUUAAAUUUAGUGGACAUACUGGCUAAUAUCACAAGAAAAGCUUAUGAUCUUUAGCUUCUCUUGAAAGAAAAUGCUUUGUAUCCACCAAAACCUCCCUGAAAUGGCUGCAACUCAUGGAUUUUUCUGAACUGCCAAGGACAAAGUUGGCAUUUUUGCCCCAAAUUAAUAACCUUAGUUUUUGGAAAAAUGUGGCAGCAUUCUUUCUGAAAACAAAUGAAUGCAGCCAAAGCAGAAUGAUUGUACUCCUUAAGCUUGUUCAAGCCAAAGUAUGAGGCACUUUCUGUACCUGAUAUGGGGAAGUUACUUAAUGUACCCUUAUAUUUGAGGAACUGAUGUCUUUGUUAAAGUAUUACACGGUGUAGAGGCCAACUUUCUUAAAUUGUGAUAUAGAAAUAAGCUUGCAGAACUUAAUGAAAGUGGAAAACCUUCAUUCCAGUUGGUACGUAUUAAGCUCUUUCUGUAAUCAAUGCACUGUUUAUAGGCAAUAUUUUUCUCAGCUGACAUAACCAAAAUAAAGACAUAGUUAUUACUUGUGAACAAGAGCAAAACUUAGCUUUGGAAAUACAGCUUAUGAUAAGAGAUGCGUUGUGAAAGAGGUCAGUGCUGAUUUUCUCUGCUUAAUCUAGAUGUGGUCUGUAUCCAAAAAUGUUUCUUCUAGCUGCUGGUCUACAUUUGCUUUGAAGCAAACUUUAAGGAGAGAAGUUUCAGAUUCUUAAUCAACAAGCAUGUACUUUGGAGCUAUGAACUCGUCUCUGUACUUUUAUGAUUCAUUUAUAGAUCCAGAUCCUUUUGAAUGCAUGUACUAUAGGGACCAGUAAAGCCACAAACUGAUAGCAAUAAGUACUCAUGUAAACCUUCGAACCUUAAUAUGUAUGAAUUCCUACUAGGGGCUGAGCAAUAUCUUACUAAUUGUUCCAUAUUUGGGUUUCUAGCUGUGGAAUGUAAUGUGGCUUAAUUACUGUGCUAAUUUAAGUUGUGGGUUCUUAAGCUCAUACCCAGAUUUGAGAUCAUAUUUUUAAUAGUUGUGCAAAUGAUACCUUUAAAAUAUGAUGGUUAUUACAUCAUACACUCAAACAUUUAUUGCAUGCAGCCAUCAAUCCAGAAUGGCCGAUUGUUAUGCCAUCUCCUUACUCAAUGCUAAACUUAUCAGAUGACAAUAUUUACAUUUUUAGCUGUACCAUUCUUUGGCCAAAAUCAAGUGUUCUUAAUUUGUGAUUCAUUAAAUACUGAAAUAUAUAGCUGGAUGCUUCAUUCAUCUAACUGCUUGUUCUUGAUUCAUUUGUUUUGCAGGAAUUCCGUCUGAUCGAUGAAGGUGAACUUGCACCUCUUCGUGAUCUAAUUGAAUCUAUCAUUGUUGCACAUUGAAAAAAAAAUGACAAUCCUGAAAAGUAAUUGACAAAAAUAACCAAUUAAGAUCCUGGUCGCUCUUUUUAACAAUUAGUGUUUACAGGUGAUGAUUGUGAAGAAAAACAUAGAAAAUAAAGGCAAUCCUCUUUGAUCUUUUUUGAUUAAUUGAAACAAGACCUUAGAAAUGUUGUUUUAUUGGUUGUUUUCUUGUUGUUGUGCUCGAAUGCACAAGAACGCUGCCUCGAUAUGGCUGAGUGAUCAUGCCGGCAUUUCUAAUAGGGAAGCUCUAUUUUAGACAUUAUUUUCUAACUGUUAUUCUAAAUUAUCUCACCUGCUCCUACAUUUUGUACUUCUAUGGCAAUCAUAGGCUGAUGGGAUGGGUUUCAGGAGCAAUGUUAACAGCAGAUUCUGAAGCCACAGAGAAAUUCCUAUGCAAGUAUUUGAUAGUUUGACAUCAGUUUGCAUCACUCUUGCAUUGUCUUGCCCCCUGAUAUAUUUGACAUGUAUCUUGCAUUAAAAGAUGUUGGGAUUACUGCCAGUGGCCAAUUGGUUCAUCGGAAUUAUUUGGCUUGGCUGGAUACUUGCAUCCAUGCUAAAGUGAAGUCUGUUCUGAAGAAGAGAUAAUACAACAACAGAAUACAUCAGUAAAGUUAAACAAUUAGCAAAUAGUGGGGGAGAAUACCAAGGGGGUAAUUAGUAGUACAGCUAUUGGCUGUUGCUCAAGUGCCUCUGUUCAUGCCACGAGAUAAAAUGGAACUUGUUUCUCAUUUGAUGGCUGGAAAGCCAAAGACCAAAUAAAAAAAAAAAAACAAGUCUCGUCUAUCUUACAUGAUCUAAAAAUAAAAUAAACUGGCUUUUGUUCUAAUAUCAUGAAGAUGGCCAAGCCGUAGACAUGGAUCUUGUUCAUGACACUACCACCUGUUGAAUGUCAAGUCAGAGUGCGAAUCCAGACAUGCCUAAGAUUGCUACAGAUUUUUACCGUUGAGCACAAUGACAGCUUUUGUUCCAAAAUGCUUUUUGACCUCAAACACA
RNAcentral lists this long non-coding RNA (41832 nucleotides) under Phoenix dactylifera (date palm). Its description in RNAcentral is "long non-coding RNA (PDAC_LNC001258)". Lineage: Eukaryota; Viridiplantae; Streptophyta; Magnoliopsida; Arecales; Arecaceae. The record is from RNAcentral.